This 74-nucleotide ribosomal RNA is filed under the name uncultured bacterium. Its description in RNAcentral is "partial 16S ribosomal RNA". The record is from RNAcentral.
CUGCUGCCUUCCGUAGGAGUUUGGACCGUGUCUCAGUUCCAAUGUGGGGGUAACCUUCCGUCUCACGAACCCUA